Molecule: transfer RNA, 61 nt
Filed under: Epimeria frankei
Lineage: Eukaryota; Metazoa; Arthropoda; Malacostraca; Amphipoda; Epimeriidae
Description: tRNA-Asn
Source: RNAcentral
UUAGUUAAAGCCAAAAAGAGGCUAAUCGCUGUUAACGAUUUUAUUGUUUAAUCUAACUAUU